This 453-nucleotide ribosomal RNA is filed under the name uncultured organism. RNAcentral describes it as "partial 16S ribosomal RNA". It matches the Rfam family "Bacterial small subunit ribosomal RNA", at positions 330 to 799 of the family's 1533-position model. The record is from RNAcentral.
CGUACACUCCUGCGGGAGGCAGCAGUGGGGAAUAUUGGACAAUGGGCGCAAGCCUGAUCCAGCCAUGCCGCGUGAGUGAUGAAGGCCCUAGGGUUGUAAAGCUCUUUCACCGGUGAAGAUAAUGACGGUAACCGGAGAAGAAGCCCCGGCUAAAUUCGUGCCAGCAGCCGCGGUAAUACGAAGGGGGCUAGCGUUGUUCGGAUUUACUGGGCGUAAAGCGCACGUAGGCGGACUAUUAAGUCAGGGGUGAAAUCCCGGGGCUCAACCCCGGAACUGCCUUUGAUACUGGUAGUCUUGAGUUCGAGAGAGGUGAGUGGAAUUCCGAGUGUAGAGGUGAAAUUCGUAGAUAUUCGGAGGAACACCAGUGGCGAAGGCGGCUCACUGGCUCGAUACUGACGCUGAGGUGCGAAAGCGUGGGGAGCAAACAGGAUUAGAAACCCCAGUAGUCCCAUG